This 253-nucleotide ribosomal RNA is filed under the name uncultured bacterium. RNAcentral describes it as "partial 16S ribosomal RNA". It matches the Rfam family "Bacterial small subunit ribosomal RNA", at positions 524 to 776 of the family's 1533-position model. The record is from RNAcentral.
UACAGAGGGUGCGAGCGUUAAUCGGAAUUACUGGGCGUAAAGCGUGCGUAGACGGUCAUGUAAGUCGGGUGUGAAAUCCCCGGGCUCAACCUGGGAAUUGCAUUCGAGACUGCGUGGCUAGGGUGCGGUAGAGGGAGGCGGAAUUUCCGGUGUAGCGGUGAAAUGCGUAGAUAUCGGGAGGAACACCAGUGGCGAAGGCGGCUCCCUGGUUCAGCACUGACGUUGAGGUGCGAAAGCGUGGGGAGCAAACAGG